This 495-nucleotide ribosomal RNA is filed under the name uncultured bacterium. RNAcentral describes it as "partial 16S ribosomal RNA". It matches the Rfam family "Bacterial small subunit ribosomal RNA", at positions 28 to 507 of the family's 1533-position model. The record is from RNAcentral.
GAUGAACGCUGGCGGCGUGCCUAAUACAUGCAAGUAGAACGCUGAAGGAGGAGCUUGCUCUUCUGGAUGAGUUGCGAACGGGUGAGUAACGCGUAGGUAACCUGCCUGGUAGCGGGGGAUAACUAUUGGAAACGAUAGCUAAUACCGCAUGACAACAGUUAUUGCAUGAUAACUGUUUAAAAGGGGCAACUGCUCCACUACCAGAUGGACCUGCGUUGUAUUAGCUAGUUGGUGAGGUAACGGCUCACCAAGGCGACGAUACAUAGCCGACCGGAGAGGGUGCACGGCCACACUGGGACUGAGACACGGCCCAGACUACUUCGGGAGGCAGCAGUAGGGAAUCUUGGGCAAUGGACGGGAGUCUGACCGAGCAACGCCGCGUGAGAGAAGAAGGUUAUCGGAUCGUAAAGAUCUGUUGUAAGAGAAGAACGAGUGUGAGAGUGGAAAGUUCACACUGUGACGGUAUCUUACCAGAAAGGGACGGCUAGCUACGUG